GAUGCAUCUGGCAUGCAAAAUAAAACCAGAGGUUUUGUUCUCAUACAACACUCGUGGAACCAAGAGCUGAGCGAGGUUUAUAUCAGGUAUUUUCUAUAAAUAUGGUCCACACUUGGAUGCUCUUUUCUUAUCCCUUUGAUAAGUUAAGAUGGAGAACUGUAAUUAUUAUAGUUUUGAAAUUAUUAUUGAGUACAGUAAUUAUUAUAGGCUAUAAGGGGUCAAGAUUCUGUUGUAAACACUGCAAUUGGAAAAAGAAUUUGUUUAUGGCAGUAUCACGAGAAGGAUCUUAGAUGCCUUUAAGGUAAACAAACAAAAACGAAUCUCUGAGGUUAGCUUGUGGCUUGGAGUCAUCGCUUUUCCGCAGGAUUGCCUCAGUGGUUUGGUAAAUUUAAUGUUCUUUCAUGUUAUUGGCUCAAUUGAAACAAUGAGAAAUGUGAAACUAGUACGAUGUUGAUGUUCUUGACAUAGUAAAUGCUACAUCUCUAAGUCCAAGCCAAGCGUAGGUGGCAAGUCUGCACAUGUAAUUACUAAUAGCUCUCUGCCGGAUCAGCAAGUAGUUACUUGGUACUUUCACAAGCCAGUGUCCAGUGCUGUGUUCAGUUUUACAGCUGUUUGUGUCUGAGUUUCAAUGCCUCACUACUGCUGUUUCCAGAAUUUUUGGAGAAGAAUUCUCUGUAGAAAUUAUUCUUUCAAAUGUGUAUACUCUCGCUACACACACGGUGUAAGCCUUGGAAUUAGGUGUCAUCAGGUCCUAGUGGUAAGUUAGUAACACAGUGUUUGAAAUACAGAAUAAGCAGAACUAAAGAUUCAUCAGUUUCUGAUUCUGAUAGAAAAGACACCAUCUGUGUUUGCCCUGCAAAACAUUGCAUGUAUCUGGAGCAAGCUUGCUCUUUGCAGAGGGGCUCCAGUAGAGAGAGAUCCAGAGCUGUCAAAUAAUAAAUGUUACUAAUUAACAGGUGGCCUCCAACAUUUGUAGUCCUUGCUGAUCAGAUGGUAUAUUGCCCACGUUGUGUCAUGGACCACUGUGUGCUAGAACAAGGAGGUAAAACCAACAGAUACAUAUAUUUAUUUUUUUUCCAGUGAUGGUAAUAGACUCACUAAAUAAAUAUUGAAAGAAACUAGACACCAAUACUUCUCUGCAUAGAGACCAAAAACUAAUGUUCUGUUGGUUCAGUUCAGCUAAUAAAUAAUUCUUGAUCAGCUUUGAAAAGUAAUUAUUUCACGUGUUUGUGAUGGAAGUUUCUCCAUAGAUCUAUAUCACAGUCACUGACCAGAAAUUUCCAUUGUUUGUGGAAGUUACUCAUUUCCAGGCUCAAGACAAGUAUCUCCUUCAGAAUAUGACAGAUGGUGUGGGGGGGGAAGGACUGAAGCAUUCUCCUCAGGACACCAGGGCUCUGGAGCAGCAGGGCGCUCCCCUUGGCAUGGCCGCGGAGCAGGGCAGUGCAGCUGGCAGCUGGGUGGGUGCUGCUGGCUUGAAAGGGCUGAACGCAGGAGCUGGCGGCUUCAGUGUUUUAUUAACUUGUCACGAACACUUAGGCUCCUGUAGAGUUGGGUAAAGAUGAGGCUUUCAGUGCAGAAAUCUCAGUUAGGAAUGAAUGAUUGUACCACCAGUUGGCUUUUCUUGGAAGAGAAAGAAAAUGGAUGGAGGGUCAUACUAAACAUGCCUGCAUCAUCAAGAAAAAAUAUCUCUUGAAACCAAAAUGAAAGUGCAUAUCCAGAAAGUGUUUUGAACCUAUCCACUAUUUGAUUUCUACUGCUUGUAGAAAUUUUGGUGAGGCUCAUCUUCAGGAUAUUUCUGUUGCUCUGUGUGUAUCUGGAUAUCUGAAUUAAGAAAAAGCUUCUUCUCCAUGUGGACAGCUGAGCAGUGGGCUCCAGUGUGCCCACAGAGGUUGUGCAGUCUUCAUCCGUGGAGGUUUUGAAGACUGGACUGGAUAAAGCCAUGAAAAAACAAGUCUGACCUCAGAGCUGACCCAGUGUUGGACUAUGGACAUCCAUGCUUCCUUUCCAAGCUGAAUUAUUCUGUGACUGUAAGGUCUUGGGUGAAGAUCAGGAGGAGAUAGAUAUCUUAUUUCUAUUUUUGUUGGCUCCAGUAUGCACAAGAAGAUAAUACUCUUCAGACCGAGGCAUUUGUUCUGGUAUAAUGUUUUUACUGGUUCAAAAUAAUUUCCCUUAUUCUCCUUGUCAUUUAGUGUUAUUUCUCUCUCAGUGAAUACUCUUAGUAGAAAGUCAUGCAAUUAACUGAGUCAUCCGCGUUAGUCACUCUGUUUUUAUUCUAUGAAAAGACUUCCGUACAUUUUCCGUGGCUUAUUUUGUUGUGACUCUCCAGAAAUGACACAGAUUCAUUGUGAGAGAAACAUGGAAAUGGCCAGUGAAUUUGUUUUUAUAAUGCAACGUUUUUCAAAGUAGUUUCUGAACUCAGAUACUAAUUUUUAAAGAAAUCCAUCUCAAUAGUAAGGAUUUCUGUCUUGCUUUCCCAGUACGUUUGGCUUUCAUUAUGAAACUAGAGCUCUAAUUUUUUAAUCUAAACCUAGUAGGAUGAUAACUUCAUUUUUUUGACAUAUACUUUCCAAAAUAAAUUUCAUUGCUUC
Long non-coding RNA from Cygnus olor (mute swan), 2588 nucleotides. RefSeq lists it as uncharacterized. The record is from RefSeq and is a predicted model, not a curated record. The transcript has 2 exons. Lineage: Eukaryota; Metazoa; Chordata; Aves; Anseriformes; Anatidae.